RNAcentral lists this long non-coding RNA (928 nucleotides) under Homo sapiens (human). Its description in RNAcentral is "non-protein coding lnc-CBARP-1:2". Lineage: Eukaryota; Metazoa; Chordata; Mammalia; Primates; Hominidae. The record is from RNAcentral.
CAGGAAAACAGGCUGGAGUCACCUGCCGUAGAGUGGGGGUGCCCUGGCCAGCCCUGGCCUCCUGCAUCUGUCAAUGGUGACCUCAGAGGGCAUUUAUGGAGCGAUUAGCCAGUGCCAGGCCUGCCUUGUGCCCAGCCAGUCACCAGCCGGCUAUGCUGUGACCCCGGGAGGUAACUGGCCUCUCCAAGCCUCAGUUUCUCCAGGGUGGGUGGGAGUGUGGUGAGGGGAUGCGGCAGGAUCACUUUGGGGCCAUCACCCCCCAUUAAUGCAGGACAUGCACUGGUUCCCAGCCUUUGGGGUGGGCAUUACCCCAUUUUACAGAUGAAGAAACUGAGGCCACAGCCAAUGAGACACGAAUGUGGUGUGCAUCUCACCCUUCCCCGUCGGCUUUUUGAGGAUGGUCCUGGUUGAGUGAGAACAAAGGUGGCGGAGGGAGCCGUGGACUGGUGCCAAAUGAGCAGCCCAAGCAGGACACUGGGGCCCCCUGUGAGUGGCCAGCAGCCCCCACCUCCCUCCCUGCCUCUUGCCUCUCGUGUGUGGCUCUGCCACCUGCACACCGUCACCUCAGUCUGGUCGGGAGUGGAAUGGACACCGUCACCUCAGUCUGGUCGGGAGUGGAAUGGACACCGUCACCUCAGUCUGGUCGGGAGUGGAAUGGACACCAUCACCUCAGUCUGGUCGGGAGUGGAAUGGGACACGGGUUGUCGGAACUUGCUGGGCUUCACAGGGGCCACUGUGUGGCCCUUUGGGGACCAGAUGCCCAGAGCCAGUCUAAAUGAAUAAACAUGCUAAAACGCUUCCCCACCAUUUCCCAUACUCGGCGUCCCCAUGGUUGAGUGGGUUGUUCCUGGGUGUGAUGGGGACAAACCCUGUGCUCUGUUCUGCCUCACUAAGCCAGGGGCUGCCCUCACUGAAGGGCCUUGACCGC